CCUACGGGAGGCAGCAGUGAGGAAUAUUGGUCAAUGGGCGAGAGCCUGAACCAGCCAAGUCGCGUGAGGGAGUACUGCCCUAUGGGUUGUAAACCUCUUUUGUCGGGGAGCAAAAGCCGGACGUUUCCGGCUUUGAGAGUACCCGAAGAAAAAGCAUCGGCUAACUCCGUUCCAGCAGCCGCGGUAAUUCGGAGGAUGCAAGCGUUAUCCGGUUUUAUUGGGGUUAAAGGGUGCGCAGGCGGAUUUUUAAGUCAGCGGUAAAAUCGUGGGGCUCAACCACAUCCAGCCGUUGAAACUGGGGAUCUAGAGUGUGCGGGAGGUAGGCGGAAUGCGUGGUGUAGCGGUGAAAUGCAUAGAUAUCACGAAGAACCCCGAUUGCGAAGGCAGCAUACCGGUGCACAACUGACGCUCAGGCACGAAAGCGUGGGUAUCGAACAGGAUUAGAUACCCGAGUAGUC
RNAcentral lists this ribosomal RNA (458 nucleotides) under uncultured bacterium. RNAcentral describes it as "partial 16S ribosomal RNA". It matches the Rfam family "Bacterial small subunit ribosomal RNA", at positions 338 to 795 of the family's 1533-position model. The record is from RNAcentral.